GGGACUGAUAGGGUUUCUACAUGUUAAUAGAUUGAAUAAGCUUUAGCUCAUUUAUAAUUCUUAUUCAAAUAAGAAUUUCAAUAAAAAAAAUUUAUUGAAUUUAUAUUAUAGCUGCAAAACAUAAUAUAGUCGUUUUUUCUGGGAGUUUAGCGCAAGCGUAAACUUGUAGAAUAUUAAAAUAUAUAUUCUAUAUAUUUAAUAGUUAUUUAAGAAUGCUCUGAUUAUCAAUUAAAUUUGUUAUAUAUUUUAGUAAAUUUAUUUGUUCUCAUGUAAAGUAAAUUUAUUAUUCUGUACGAAUUUUUGUUCUUAUAAAUUAGUUAUUAAUUAAGACAUAUUACUUUGUAUUAACAUGGACGUGGGUUCGAGUCCCACCAGUUCCA
This 380-nucleotide non-coding RNA is filed under the name Ophidocladus simpliciusculus. The record is from RNAcentral. Lineage: Eukaryota; Rhodophyta; Florideophyceae; Ceramiales; Rhodomelaceae.